GGCUGUAAUGCCACAGUAACCAUCCUGCUGGCUUACUUUCCAGCACGUGGCUAUGUCCCUUGCUGUGUCCCACUGUCUUCCAAUCAGUCGAAUGCCUGAAGAAGAAAAAACAUCACAGUCACAGGCAUGGACAAAGUUGGCCAUUGUUGUUCAACUGAAUGGAAGCCUCUAAUUUGCCUAGACAUGGAAGAAGAGAACAGAUCAAGUUCCUUGCACCCACAUGUUUGGCCCUGAUGGCGGAUGCAAAAGGACAGUGAAAGCAGAAGAGACACCUCACACGCCUACCGCCAUCGCGGAUGGGAGCGGGGUGAGGGG
Long non-coding RNA from Anguilla anguilla (European eel), 315 nucleotides. RefSeq lists it as uncharacterized. The transcript has 3 exons. The record is from RefSeq and is a predicted model, not a curated record. Lineage: Eukaryota; Metazoa; Chordata; Actinopteri; Anguilliformes; Anguillidae.